ACAUCGGCCCUUUUCAGGGCCAACAAAUCUUCAAAACGUGGAAAUCU
This is a non-coding RNA of Cyphomyrmex costatus, 47 nucleotides long. The record is from Rfam. Lineage: Eukaryota; Metazoa; Arthropoda; Insecta; Hymenoptera; Formicidae.